This 248-nucleotide unclassified non-coding RNA is filed under the name uncultured fungus. Its description in RNAcentral is "partial contains 5.8S ribosomal RNA, internal transcribed spacer 2, and large subunit ribosomal RNA". Lineage: Eukaryota; Fungi. The record is from RNAcentral.
AACGCACAUUGCGCCCGCCAGCAUUCUGGCGGGCAUGCCUGUUCGAGCGUCGUUUCGACCCUCAGGCCCCCCGGGCCUGGUGUUGGGGCGCUGCGCCGUCGCGCGCAGGCCCCCAAACGCAUCGGCGGCGUCGCCCCGGCCCCCGGACGCAGUAAUUGCUAUCGUCCGAGGACCCCGGCGGCCCCCGCCGCGAAACCCCCCCUCUGAAAGUCGACCUCGGAUCAGGUAGGGAUACCCGCUGAACUUAA